This 89-nucleotide transfer RNA is filed under the name Chloroflexota bacterium. RNAcentral's name for it is "Chloroflexi bacterium tRNA-Ser". It matches the Rfam family "tRNA". Rfam says of the family: Transfer RNA (tRNA) molecules are approximately 80 nucleotides in length. Their secondary structure includes four short double-helical elements and three loops (D, anti-codon, and T loops). Further hydrogen bonds mediate the characteristic L-shaped molecular structure. tRNAs have two regions of fundamental functional importance: the anti-codon, which is responsible for specific mRNA codon recognition, and the 3' end, to which the tRNAs corresponding amino acid is attached (by aminoacyl-tRNA synthetases). tRNAs cope with the degeneracy of the genetic code in two manners: having more than one tRNA (with a specific anti-codon) for a particular amino acid; and 'wobble' base-pairing, i.e. permitting non-standard base-pairing at the 3rd anti-codon position. Lineage: Bacteria; Bacillati; Chloroflexota. The record is from RNAcentral.
GGAGAGGUGGCAGAGUGGUCGAAUGCGCUCCCCUGCUAAGGGAGUAGCCGGUUUAAACCGGCUCGCGGGUUCGAAUCCCGCCCUCUCCG